Molecule: transfer RNA, 64 nt
Filed under: Brachionus plicatilis
Lineage: Eukaryota; Metazoa; Rotifera; Eurotatoria; Ploima; Brachionidae
Also listed under: 2 other names
Description: tRNA-Gln
Source: RNAcentral
UAUGCAAUAGUAUAAGUGUAUGUGUGAUUUUGGAUCACAUGGUGUAGUUUCGCUACUUGCAUAA